UACGGAGGGUGCAAGCGUUAAUCGGAAUUACUGGGCGUAAAGGGUGCGUAGGCGGUUGUUUAAGUCUGUUGUGAAAUCCCCGGGCUCAACCUGGGAAUGGCAAUGGAUACUGGGCAGCUAGAGUGUGUCAGAGGAUGGUGGAAUUCCCGGUGUAGCGGUGAAAUGCGUAGAGAUCGGGAGGAAUACCAGUGGCGAAGGCGGCCUCCUGGAUCGAUACUGACGCUGAGGCGCGAAAGCGUGGGGAGCAAACAGG
Molecule: ribosomal RNA, 253 nt
Filed under: uncultured bacterium
Lineage: Bacteria
Description: partial 16S ribosomal RNA
Rfam family: Bacterial small subunit ribosomal RNA
Source: RNAcentral